Molecule: ribosomal RNA, 497 nt
Filed under: uncultured bacterium
Lineage: Bacteria
Description: partial 16S ribosomal RNA
Rfam family: Bacterial small subunit ribosomal RNA
Source: RNAcentral
GAUGAACGCUGGCGGCGUGCCUAAUACAUGCAAGUCGAGCGAACAGACGAGGAGCUGGCUCCGCUGACGUUAGCGGCGGACGGGUGAGUAACACGUGGAUAACCUACCUAUAAGACUGGUAUAACUUCGGGAAACCGGAGCUAAUACCGGAGAAUAUAUUGAACCGCAUGGUUCAAUAGUGAAAGACGGUAUUUCUGUCACUUAUAGCUGGAUCCGCGCCGCAUUAGCUAGUUGGUAAGGCAACGGCUUACCAAGGCAACGAUGCGUAGCCGACCUGAGAGCGUCUACGGCCACCCUGGAAGUGAGACACAGUACAGACUCCUGGAGGAGGCAGCAGUCGUGAAUCUUCCGCAAUGGGCGAAAGCCUAACGGGGCAACAUCGCGUGAAUGAUGAAGGUCUCAGGCUCGUAAAACUCUGUUAUUAGGGAAGAACAAAUGUGCUAGUAACUAUGAACGUCUUGACGGUACCUAAUCAGAAAGCCCCGGCUAACUACGUG